GCAGAAAUGACGGGAGGAGGAAGAGGAAAACUGGAAGGAGUGAAAAAAAAAGGAGAGAAGAAACGUGGAACUAAGCGAGACAGCUGAAAAAAUGACUCACAAGAUGCAAGUGAUGCAACAGUUCUCACAACAGCACAAAUUCACCCGUCUUUCAUCUGCAGGACUGUGGAUGUCCCAGCUGCCAUGCAGCCAUCAGUCAGCAGAACAAGGAGUGUGCAGCUGCUCCAUCUCCAGUGCUCGAGCUGUGACAACCCACACAUGUCAUUUAUGCAAGCGAUAUUCCUGUGUCUGUAGGUCCCCAUAAAGGAGGACCAGGUGUGACAUGUGCCCAAGGGACCCUUCGCAGAGGAGAGCACAGGCCUGCUGCUGUAAGAAACACGACCACUGAGUGAGGGUUUCAUUGGCACUCUGCUUGCCUGACGUUCUGGCAGCGUGGAAGGAGAUCUCCACGUCAGCAACUUCAGGGAGGUUUGGAGGUAGGACCCAAACGCUGACAGAGAGCCCUGGUGUCCUCAUCCUUGGUCCCUGGAGUGGAGAUGCUGGAGAUGUGGGCCCAUCUGUCAUGGACAGCCUUGCAGGGUGCUAUCAGGAUGAAGAUCACAGCACUCAGUUGGCUUCCUCAGGGUGAUCGUAAGCAGCACUGAGCUUCGCUUCAUGUGUAACAGCAUUACUGGAAAAAGACAGUAAAGUCCUUUACAGCCUUGAAAAAGUGUCAGGGAUUUUAUGUAUUCACUGAGGCUUGGAGUUCAAAGGUGAAGACAAUAUCACGCUUUGAUAUACCGAGAGUCAAUCAUCAUCUCAUCUCAACUGGAAAACAAAUGCCUGGGAGGGUGUGUGGGGGGAGUUCAAUUCAAAGCUGGUAUGCAUGGUAAACCCCCUAAUCCCAGCACCUGUGAUAAACACUAUCCAGCAAUAGCAGGUGGAAUUCAACUUGGCUGGCACAGGGCACAGGAGGAUACAAAUGUUUUUGGGAACCUCCCCACUAUUUCCUGGGGAAGACAGUGACAUUCACAGCGUCAGCUACUUCAGGUGUCAACCUCCUGGGGACAAGAGGGCCAUCAAAGAGAACAAAUGGC
Molecule: long non-coding RNA, 1076 nt
Filed under: Gallus gallus (chicken)
Lineage: Eukaryota; Metazoa; Chordata; Aves; Galliformes; Phasianidae
Description: long non-coding RNA NONGGAT011771
Source: RNAcentral